This 373-nucleotide ribosomal RNA is filed under the name uncultured organism. RNAcentral's name for it is "bacterial SSU rRNA". It matches the Rfam family "Bacterial small subunit ribosomal RNA", at positions 526 to 897 of the family's 1533-position model. The record is from RNAcentral.
CAGAGGGGGCAAGCGUUAUUCGGAAUUAUUGGGCGUAAAGGGCGCGUAGGCGGCUUUUCAAGUGACGGGUGAAAUCCCUCGGCUUAACCGAGGAACUGCCUGUCAGACUGGAAGGCUUGAGACCGGGAGAGGUGAGUGGAAUUCCCAGUGUAGCGGUGAAAUGCGUAGAUAUUGGGAGGAACACCAGUGGCGAAGGCGGCUCACUGGACCGGAACUGACGCUGAGGCGCGAAAGCGUGGGGAGCAAACAGGAUUAGAUACCCUGGUAGUCCACGCCGUAAACGAUGAGUGCUUGGUGUAGCGGGUAUCGACCCCUGCUGUGCCGAAGUCAACACAUUAAGCACUCCGCCUGGGGAGUACGGUCGCAAGACUGA